GGAUGAGGUGCCUGCAGGUGGCUGUGCAGUCAGCCUUCCCAUCCCUCUGUCCCACGCUUACCACGUGCUCCUGGCCACCUCUUAGUUCAGGAUCCUAAGAUUCUAUUCCGAUUCCUAUUUGAAAGAUAAGGAGGCCCAAGACCGAGAGGAGAUCUGAAACAAGCCAGCAAACACAAGCUAUCUCCUCUUCUGCCCUGGCCAUAGAUGCCUGCUGGCCUGGAGGCAUCUGUCAGAGAGGUGCUUUUGCCCCAGGCCUCUCCAUAUUUUGUAUGUCUUUAUAGCCAUCACCCCAUUUUCUCACUGUGUAUUUGCCAUCCUAUAUCUGCCUCGAACAGUGAGCUCCUGAAAAUCAGGGAUUUCAACUUCACAUCCUCACCGCCUGCCAUGGUACCCAGCAUGUGGUCUGUGUGGUCACCCUAAUGUACCUACUGCUCUACCAAGUCUGCACCAAGACAGGGUGGAGCAUGGAAAAAGAGACAAUUCUCUGAGCCUGGAUGGAGCAAAGCUGAGCUUGUCUCCAGAGGAUCAGGGACACACUCCCCAGCGGUGUAGCAGCCUUCAGGACGCAUGGGGGCCUCGUGCUGGCUGCACCCCAAGCCCCCGGGGAGGCAUGGAGGCACCAGCAUGCCUGUGACCAGUGACUGCCCCAGCUCACUGCUACAGCGGACCCCAGCUUUGGGGAGGGGCUGCAACAAUGUGUUUAAGUGUCCCCAAAUCCUUGGAUCGAAUCACAAUUGGAUUAUUUUUAGGAAAAUAAAGAACUCAAAAUUC
This is a non-coding RNA of Globicephala melas (long-finned pilot whale), 771 nucleotides long. The record is from RefSeq and is a predicted model, not a curated record. NCBI's taxonomy places the organism in Eukaryota, Metazoa, Chordata, Mammalia, Artiodactyla, Delphinidae.